AUGAAUGUAAGAAAGGAGAGGAAACAGUUUUUGAUACAUUUUCUAGAUAAGACUGAAGGUACUCGUACAAUAGAGACAUUUUCAUUAUUUCAGUUCAGACAGUAGAGGGAUACUAGGUACACUUUUCUCACAACAGAAAAACGACAGCUGCCAUGAUAUUUGUAUCAAAGAAAUAGGUUAAACUUUUUGUUAUUGAUAGAAUUUUUGUCGUAAAGAUAAGAAUCAGCUAUCAUUUAUAGGCAUUAUCAAUCAUUCCUUUGGCCAGUCCUAGGAGUCGAUAAUUAAUUAAAGAACCACCGAAGCACAAUAUAACAGUAUUUUAAGACCCAGCCUAGGUUCCUCCGAGUCCGGCACAAGAACCACAUUCCAAAGAGCAGGUAAAUAAUUUCCACUCCUACAGGUGCCUAAUAAUAUCUUAUCACUCUCUCCGACGGUUCGCUCCAAGUGCAGCAAACCGAUCGUCAAUUAACCCCCCGAAGCACUUACAAUCUAAAUGUUUCUUUUUGGGGCCAAUCAUCUCUUCGGUCGUGGCUUUACAAACGGACUUGGCUAAUCCCUGACCGGCUAGACUGUGCUUAGCGGCCAGAAGUCGGUCGUUUAUAGUCUGACCAGCCAUUCUUCCCGUCAUAUUGCACUUUUUUCACUUUGUCGACUCCAACAUAAAGCACUUUACACUUGCACUUUAACGAGUCACACACCGCAGGUCUUUGGACGCACCUUUGCCACUUUCUGGACUACGACGGGCCGCGGACUGUCACUUUACGGAUUGCGUCAAACUUGAAGGCAGUGGGCGACGUUGCCACAUUACCUAGCAACGCGACCGCCAAUAGGAAACGGCGACGACACUCGCCGGUUGUCGGCGCAAAUUUUGAAUUUUUUACCCGAUAUUUGAAUCGGAAUAUAAUUUAUUUCUCAUUAAGCCAAGUGUAAUUAAAAAGGUGUUAUGUAAUCGCAUUUCGAAACUUGGGUCAUCAAAAAAUAUUUAUCAGUGAAGAUGAAUAAAUCAAUUUAUUAAAUUAAA
This is a long non-coding RNA of Tribolium castaneum (red flour beetle), 1021 nucleotides long. RefSeq lists it as uncharacterized. The record is from RefSeq and is a predicted model, not a curated record. Lineage: Eukaryota; Metazoa; Arthropoda; Insecta; Coleoptera; Tenebrionidae. The transcript has 2 exons.